UCUGCCCUUCACUCUGGGACAAGCCCUGGAAACGGGGUCUAAUACCGGAUAACACUCUGUCCCGCAUGGGACGGGGUUAAAAGCUCCGGCGGUGAAGGAUGAGCCCGCGGCCUAUCAGCUUGUUGGUGGGGUGAUGGCCUACCAAGGCGACGACGGGUAGCCGGCCUGAGAGGGCGACCGGCCACACUGGGACUGAGACACGGCCCAGACUCCUACGGGAGGCAGCAGUGGGGAAUAUUGCACAAUGGGCGAAAGCCUGAUGCAGCGACGCCGCGUGAGGGAUGACGGCCUUCGGGUUGUAAACCUCUUUCAGCAGGGAAGAAGCGAAAGUGACGGUACCUGCAGAAGAAGCGCCGGCUAACUACGUGCCAGCAGCCGCGGUAAUACGUAGGGCGCAAGCGUUGUCCGGAAUUAUUGGGCGUAAAGAGCUCGUAGGCGGCUUGUCACGUCGGAUGUGAAAGCCCGGGGCUUAACCCCGGGUCUGCAUUCGAUACGGGCUAGCUAGAGUGUGGUAGGGGGAGAUCGGAAUUCCUGGUGUAGCGGUGAAAUGCGCAAUAUCAGGAGGAACACCGGUGGCGAAAGCGGAUCUCUGGGCCAU
This 598-nucleotide ribosomal RNA is filed under the name Streptomyces flavogriseus. RNAcentral's name for it is "bacterial SSU rRNA". It matches the Rfam family "Bacterial small subunit ribosomal RNA", at positions 125 to 737 of the family's 1533-position model. The record is from RNAcentral. Lineage: Bacteria; Bacillati; Actinomycetota; Actinomycetes; Kitasatosporales; Streptomycetaceae.